UGAGCAAUCUGCCCUUCUCUUUGGAAUAAGCGUUGGAAACGACGUCUAAUGCCGAAUACGACCUCCUUUCGCAUGAUCGGAGGUGGAAAGCUCCGGCGGAGAAGGAUGAGCUCGCGGCCUAUCAGCUAGUUGGUGUGGGUAUGGCCCACCAAGGCGACGACGGGUAGCCGGCCUGAGAGGGUGACCCGGCCACACGUGGGACUGAGACACGGCCCAGACCUCCGUACGGGAGGNAGCG
Molecule: ribosomal RNA, 238 nt
Filed under: uncultured bacterium
Lineage: Bacteria
Description: partial 16S ribosomal RNA
Rfam family: Bacterial small subunit ribosomal RNA
Source: RNAcentral